RNAcentral lists this ribosomal RNA (229 nucleotides) under uncultured bacterium. Its description in RNAcentral is "partial 16S ribosomal RNA". It matches the Rfam family "Bacterial small subunit ribosomal RNA", at positions 568 to 796 of the family's 1533-position model. The record is from RNAcentral.
UGCGUAGGCGGAAUAAUAAGUCAGUGGUGAAAUCCUGUGGUUCAACCACAGAACUGCCAUUGAUACUGUUAUUCUUGAAUAUAGUUGAGGUAGGCGGAAUGUGUAAUGUAGCGGUGAAAUGCUUAGAUAUUACACAGAACACCGAUUGCGAAGGCAGCUUGCUAAACUAUUAUUGACGCUGAGGCACGAAAGCGUGGGGAGCGAACAGGAUUAGAUACCCUGGUAGUCC